CCUACGGGGCGCUGCAGUGAGGAAUAUUGGUCAAUGGACGCAAGUCUGAACCAGCCAUGCCGCGUGCAGGAAGACGACUCUAUGAGUUGUAAACUGCUUUUGUACGAGGGUAAACGCAGAUACGCGUAUCUUUCUGAAAGUAUCGUACGAAUAAGGAUCGUCUAUCUCCGUGCCAGCAGCCGCGGUAAUACGGAGGAUUCAAGCGUUAUCCGGAUUUAUUGGGUUUAAAGGGUGCGUAGGCGGUCGGAUAAGUUAGAGGUGAAAUCCCGAGGCUCAACUGCGGAAUUGCCUCUGAUACUGUUCGGCUAGAGAGUAGUAGCGGUAGGCGGAAUGUAUGGUGUAGCGGUGAAAUGCUUAGAGAUCAUACAGAACACCGAUUGCGAAGGCAGCUUACCAAGCUACUUCUGACGUUGAGGCACGAAAGCGUGGGGAGCAAACAGGAUUAGAUACCCCUGUAGUC
RNAcentral lists this ribosomal RNA (460 nucleotides) under uncultured bacterium. Its description in RNAcentral is "partial 16S ribosomal RNA". It matches the Rfam family "Bacterial small subunit ribosomal RNA", at positions 338 to 795 of the family's 1533-position model. The record is from RNAcentral.